This is a long non-coding RNA of Carassius auratus (goldfish), 492 nucleotides long. RefSeq lists it as uncharacterized. Lineage: Eukaryota; Metazoa; Chordata; Actinopteri; Cypriniformes; Cyprinidae. The transcript has 3 exons. The record is from RefSeq and is a predicted model, not a curated record.
GUGUGCUUAGGCCCAGAAUAAAAUGUCUUUGGAAACUUACUCAGUUAUGAUUUUAGACAUGGCAAAACAAGGCCUAUCAUCCACAGAAAUCUCAGCGCAGAUAUCACAAGUAAAUGGGGGAGCGAGAGGAUGUUCCGCAAGAAACGUGAGGAGAUUUUGCAGUGAAAAUGGAUUAAGUUUGAUGGGGCUCCCUGACGCACAUUUGGAGUUGGAGGUGGCAAAAGCUAUAACCGAGACUGGACCUACAUAUGGAAGAAAGAUGAUGAAGGGUUAUCUCGCUAUGAAAGGAGUGUAUGCUGCAGAGACACGAAUUGGAUCAGUGCUCAGAACCAUGCAUCAGCCAUACCAUGAAGCAAGACGUCAGGGUGCCCGCAAUCUCAACCCCAUACCAUAUCAAGCUGAUUACAUGGGUCAAAAGGUUCAUAUGGACCAAAACGAAAAACUGGCUAUGUUUGGGGUUACCCAUGUUUUAGCCAUCGAUGGCUACAGCAA